RNAcentral lists this long non-coding RNA (351 nucleotides) under Vicia faba (fava bean). Lineage: Eukaryota; Viridiplantae; Streptophyta; Magnoliopsida; Fabales; Fabaceae. The record is from RNAcentral.
AUGAUUGAAAUUGCAAACAAUAAUAAAAUUCAGUUUCGCAAAGAGAGUGGUGGUUUGAAGCAACCGAAAGUUCGCCGAAGAUUGGUGUCGAUGGCAAAUAGCACCGCCGAUGGGAGGGUUUAUGAGCGACUGUGUUGUUUCAGGGUUUUCAGGUUUAGGAUGAUGAGCAAAGGCAACGCGUUGGACCGUGGAUUCAAUGGCAUGAGAUUUGGGAUUGUCUGUGAUGCUGUUAUUUGGAAAUUGUGGAGUGAAGUUUCAGAGAGUGUGAUUUUGAAGUGGUCUUUUUUUUUAUUCGUCUCAGACACACUAAUGUCAACAGGAAAGGCAAUGUUGGAACAAGACACCUUUUAA